RNAcentral lists this ribosomal RNA (611 nucleotides) under uncultured archaeon. Its description in RNAcentral is "bacterial SSU rRNA". It matches the Rfam family "Archaeal small subunit ribosomal RNA", at positions 18 to 636 of the family's 1478-position model. The record is from RNAcentral.
CGGACCUGACUGCUAUCGGAUUGAUACUNNNNCNUGCGAGUCAUUGUAGUAAUACAAGGCAGACGGCUCAGUAACGCGUAGUCAACCUACCCUAUGGACGGGAAUAACCUCGGGAAACUGAGUAUAAUGCCCGAUAGAACACUAUACCUGGAAUGGUUUGUGUUCCAAAUGAAUGUCGCCGUAGGAUGGGACUGCGGCCUAUCAGUUUGUUGGUGAGGUAAUGGCCCACCAAGACUAUUACAGGUACGGGCUCUGAGAGGAGUAGCCCGGAGAUGGGUACUGAGACACGGACCCAGGCCCUAUGGGGCGCAGCAGGCGAGAAAACUUUGCAAUGUGCGAAAGCACGACAAGGUUAAUCCGAGUGGUUUGUGCUAAACGAACCUUUUGACAGUCCUAGAAACACUGUUGAAUAAGGGGUGGGCAAGUUCUGGUGUCAGCCGCCGCGGUAAAACCAGCACCUCAAGUGGUCAGGAUGAUUAUUGGGCCUAAAGCAUCCGUAGCCGGCUCUGUAAGUUUUCGGUUAAAUCUGUACGCUCAACGUACAGGCUGCCGGGAAUACUGCAGAGCUAGGGAGUGGGAGAGGUAGACGGUACUCGGUAGGAAGGGGUAAA